Molecule: ribosomal RNA, 497 nt
Filed under: uncultured bacterium
Lineage: Bacteria
Description: partial 16S ribosomal RNA
Rfam family: Bacterial small subunit ribosomal RNA
Source: RNAcentral
GAUGAACGCUGGCGGCGUGCCUAAUAUAUGCAAGUCGAGCGAACAGAUAAGGAGCUUGCUCCUUUGACGUUAGCGGCGGACGGGUGAGUAACACGUGGGUAACCUACCUAUAAGACUGGGAUAACUUCGGGAAACCGGAGCUAAUACCGGAUAACAUUUGGAACCGCAUGGUUCUAAAGUGAAAGAUGGUUUUGCUAUCACUUAUAGAUGGACCCGCGCCGUAUUAGCUAGUUGGUAAGGUAACGGCUUACCAAGGCGACGAUACGUAGCCGACCUGAGAGGGUGAUCGGCCACACUGGUACUGAGACACGGUCCAGACUCCUACGGGAGGCAGCAGUAGGGAAUCUUCCGCAAUGGGCGAAAGCCUGACGGAGCAACGCCGCGUGAGUGAUGAAGGGUUUCGGCUCGUAAAACUCUGUUAUUAGGGAAGAACAAACGUGUAAGUAACUGUGCACGUCUUGACGGUACCUAAUCAGAAAGCCACGGCUAACUACGUG